Molecule: long non-coding RNA, 2335 nt
Organism: Daphnia pulex (common water flea)
Lineage: Eukaryota; Metazoa; Arthropoda; Branchiopoda; Diplostraca; Daphniidae
Exons: 7
Source: RefSeq, a predicted model, not a curated record
ACCUGAGCUUCUUCAUUGAAGUCUGGAUUUGUUGCAGCCAGCUGGUGGAACUUGGUGUUCCUCUUGCAGUUUGCUACCAGUACCGAUUGUAGCUUUCGUCACAUGCAGAAACACUUCAUGUCCACUCCCCCUCAAUUAUUCAAAAUGGUGGCCAUCUGACAUGUUGAUUCCUGUAGAGGUGUGAUUGUGAUGAACAAUUCUCAUUCUCAGCUUUUUGAGAGAAGCUUAUCAGGUUAUUGCAUGUUGCUCUUUUGACCAACUUGAAAAAUAUCUUAAGAAUGGAUGUAAAGCCAGUUUUCUGUAUGUUAGAAACUCGAGGAAUGAUAAAUAGUGCUUUUCUUCGUGCGGGGGACGAAAUUCCGCCAUUUCCCAUUUGUUUCCGAGACACUGACUGAUAAUGUAUUACGAACUUCCGGCGUCCUUUUACCUUUUCAGUCAUGUUAAUCAAAAGGUAUAGCCUAUAGCAUCAACUUGGCCAAAUAAUCCGAUAACGUGGGCUAAAACUACUGUACAUGCUUUCGAACUGUUACCUGUACGUCUCAUCCCAUGUAGCAAAUGUCUUUUAUAUAUAUUUAGGAAGGAGAUCCCUCUGUUUAACUGAUGGAGGAUUUGAGAACAUGCAGAAUGUGAACUACACUUUCAUGCUCAUGGUUUUGUUGCAGUCAGCUGGUGAAAGGUGUGGUAAAGUCAAGUUGAGCUGCGGCACAAAUAAAUCAAAAUUGAGUUGUCACUACAAUUUGAACUUGUAGUAAGCCCAUUUACAUAUGGGCCUCUACACAUUCCUCUUCGUGUAACCAAAUCGCAAUCAUGGCAGGUACAAUUGCCGCACGGCUCGAGUUGAAAGGUGAAUCACGAGAAGGCAAAACUUAUUGAGCGAGAGAAAUGUCGAUAGAAGGCAGUCAAAUGAGCAUCUCCGACAUGACAACUUCCAGUUCGCAAUUAUUGGCAAAUAUUCUUUCUUUUUGUAUUUAGUUAUGUAUCAAUCCCAUUUGUCUCUUUUUUGUUAGUAUGCCAGUUAUUAUUGAUUAUUAAUGUGGAAAUUAAUUGCUCGGUUAACCAUAGCGUCGUGCUGCUGUUGGGUGUUGUAUCGUUGAUGACUGGGUCGACCACUGGUGCACCGAUCUUCUUGGUAUGGCGGAUACCAAACCGCAACGCCGCCGGCUUACUACCCAAAAGCAACUCACGCUACGACCAGUUACUGCGCCGAGACCCUUAAGUACUACACCACUAAGGUACUGGUGUAUUAUACCACAACUUAACUGCCCCCAGCUACUACACUGACGCCCCGAAGUAUUACUCUGCCCCGAGCUACACCAACAAUGUACUGGGGUACUACACGAAUACGUAUGCUGCCCCAACCUACUACACCGAGGCUCCCAAGUACUACUCUGUCCUCAGCUACUUAUUACACCGAUGGCUAAAGUAGUACUACUCUGUUCCCAGCUACUACAACUAGGCUCCGGCUGAUUUCUAAACCAAAACGGUUGCAAACUACACCAAAGUGCUCAAGAACUACUCUGUCCCGAUCUACACAGCCACUACUUGCGGCAACAGGCGGUCAAGUAUUGCGCAGCCCUACACAGAAGCUGCCUUUUCGUACUACGAAGAAAUACUACACUGAUGCUCCAGUUUGCUACACGCAACCUAUGCUACACCAAGGUACAACACCGAAGCUCCCAAGUACUACAUCAAAGAAAUCGCACAUUACACAAGUCAAUCACGUCCACCGCCCCAGUUUACUUCACCGAGGAACCCAAGUAUUACUCUGCUCCAAGCUACUACCAAACUGAGCUCAGAAGUACUACACCAGCAAGGUUCCUGAGUGUUACACCACUACUUACGCUGCUACGACCUACACACCGAAGUUCCAUAGUAUUCCUAUGCCCCGAGUUACUACACUACUAGAGCACCAACAAAUUACAACACAAUCUUUCUUCUUCGUUUACUGUUCUGAUGGUUGCUGUCCAAUGAGGUUUGAUAUUGCAGCAUAUGCUGGUGAAACAUUUAUGUGCAUCAAAUUUAAUUUUAGCUGUGACUUGGUUCUGGUAUUGUGUUUUGAAAGUUGCAAUUUGUAUUUGGUUCAAUUGGCAUUUUGUAUAUUUUAUUCGGAUGUUAAGAUUUUAGAAGAAAGAAAAACAAACAUGGGGAAUUUGAUGCCAUACAAAAAAUAAACAAAUCUUUGCAAUUAGGAAAGGAAGGAGGAGGAAAUUGGGGUAGUGAAGUAAUCAUUUGAAUAUAUCAAAUGAAAUUAUAUUAUUUAAUUUAUUGUGAAAUUUUCAUAUUGUUGAGUAGUAAUGUAAUAAAUAUGAAAAAUAUAAUUGUUCCGUCACAAUAA